GUGCUAGGUGCCUAGGCUAUGCAUCUUAAUUUGUGAUUGUGCUAGAUUAGUUCGAUUGUUUUUUUGUGUCGUGUGUGAUUUGGUAUAAUCCAACCUAUUACUAUCUUAUACUCCAAUCUGUUACCAAAUAUUUUGAGUAUAAGGUUAAAAAAAAUCGAACACAUGUUAACGUAAAAACAAAUUACGGAGUUCAACAAUCAAAACAUUAUACUUAUCCCAAAAGACUAUAUUUUGUGAGAGCAAUUCAAUUAAGCAAUCAAAAUGAGACGGAUGGUCAAAAGAAUGAGAAAAAUGAGAGAAAGAUGUUACUAAUUCCCAAAUAGGAUAUUUCCUCAAAAAAAAAAAAAAAAAAAAAGAAAAAAAUCCCAAGUAGGAUAAGUCCCAAUAAAAGCGGUAGAAACAAUAGAAAGAGAGAAGCAAUCCGAAAAAACAGAAGUAAUAAAAGCCCAAAUUCAGAUAUAAUAAAGCCCACGAUAUCCUUAAAUUACCGUCUACCUGAAACAAAGGUGCCACCACCAACCGCCCAAACACCGGCGACUUUCUCAAUUUUUCGUCUGUAAAUUUGGGGAUAUUCAUUGAUUAAUGUUCAAAUUUCAGGUUUCAAUUCAAUUUUACAAAAUUAAUUUAUCGAAAUUUCUGUGUUAGAUUUGUUGAUGAUGAUGGCACCUCCGCCUGCUAUUAUUGCUCAUCUUCCUCUAGCAAUUUCCCCCUUUGGAGGUCGUCAAGCUUUAUUGGGGUCAUGCUUUUUCAAAAGGAAUUCUCUCCAUUCAGAUAGUUUUCUAAAGUUUGGGGCUUGUGAAGGACAUUUUUUGCGCUUGAAGAGGUCAAUGAAGUGUAAGAAAAAUUUCCCCUUUACAUUUAGAACCAGGCUUCAGUUGUAAUUAAAUGAUGGUGAAGAAUGUUGCAGACAGAAUCUCAUGUUUGCUUGCUUUGGUUAUUGCAGACGGGGCCUUAUGCUUCCAGAGUGUAGGUGCCUUUUGCUACUGUAUUGACCCCACUAAGGGAAAUGAAAGUUUUAAUUAUCAUGGAAGUUUAUGUGCUUGCAUUUAAAGAAUUAUAAGGGAACCCACUAGCAAUGUGUAAGCCUCCAUUUUGGUUUUAAACAAUGUACCCAUUGUUAUUUGUGUAGAAAGGCGCAUUCAGUGUAGCAGCAAAAACUCAAGUGCCAGUGGCGCCCAUGACAAUAAUUGGAACUGGCAGUAUCAUGCCUGCUGGCAAGGAGAAAAUGCUAAAUCCAGGGUCUGUCAAAGUCGUAAUUCACCCAUGUUUGAUGGGAAAUGACGCACAAGUAUUGUGCAAUCAAGCUCGGAGUGUUAUUGCAGACACACUUGAGCGGCAAUGCUAAGAGAUUCAAGUCAUAAUGCGGUAUUAUUGGACAAACGGAUUUUCCUGAGCCUAAAUCACUUUACGGAUUGAUGACGCAUGAGAAGAUUUUGGUGCCUAAUUUAAGGCCUGUGUUCGUUUCAGGAGAGAAGACGUCUUCAUAAAUUGUAGUUUCUUGUAGAGGAAUGGCUUGCUGGAAAAUGACAACAAUUGGAAUCAAAAUUGGAUUAACAUGGUUGUGAUUUGGAGAAGCAAGAAAUUUCCCACCUAGGAGUUUUUCGCCUGUUACUAGGAUUUUCCACUCAGGAAAUGGCUAAUUAAGUAUAGGAGUUUUUUGUCUGCUACUAGGCUUUCAACUCAGAAAAUGGCUAAUUAGGUUUUGUAAAUGUAUUGAUGGCAGCUGUUGUUGUAGUUACUAUUGAGGCCUUGAGGGUAUAGGAAUUUAUAAGAGGUUUCCAUGUAGUCAAGCCGAAAGGGCUGUAUUUGAGGCUUGUGAUAAAGAUGUGAUGUUGGCGCAGCCGCGCAGUUGUGCAGAAUUGCGGAUUUAACACUUUUGUAAAAAGGCCUAGCAGGUCAAAAUUCGUCAAUUUAACCAGUAAAAGCCUAUCUUUUGCCCAUUUUCUCCUCUCAUUGAAGCAAAAUUAACUCUGCUUAUGUAUUAUUACCCAAUAUUUGAUUAU
Molecule: RNA transcript, 2003 nt
Organism: Chenopodium quinoa (quinoa)
Lineage: Eukaryota; Viridiplantae; Streptophyta; Magnoliopsida; Caryophyllales; Amaranthaceae
Gene name: 1-acyl-sn-glycerol-3-phosphate acyltransferase 1, chloroplastic-like
Exons: 5
Source: RefSeq, a predicted model, not a curated record